This is a long non-coding RNA of Mya arenaria, 618 nucleotides long. RefSeq lists it as uncharacterized. The record is from RefSeq and is a predicted model, not a curated record. The transcript has 3 exons. NCBI's taxonomy places the organism in Eukaryota, Metazoa, Mollusca, Bivalvia, Myida, Myidae.
AAGCUACUCAAAUUAACCUUCAAAAUGUUCCGACUUCGGACAGUUUUACGUCAAAAACAGAAAUACACCGGCUACGAGUUUGAUCAAAGGGAUGUCAAGGCUGGAUGGACACCAUUUCUCGUCACAGCCGGAAUGUUUGCUGUGACAGGAGCAUUUUCUUAUUAUAUGACGAUUUACGUACCAAGAAGUCAUAUUGAAUCUGAAAAGAAAAGUGAAGCAGAAGAGAAUGCAGCCGUAGGUCCAGCACAGAAAGAUAAAUGGUAGAACGGACCCUAUAUCUUGUUGCUGAAGCAAACGAGUCCAGUCAACAGACAGUAUUGGGAACAAUGGAAAGAGGGAAUAACUGCACAUACAACAAACUUCUUCGUAUUCCUUAUUUCAUAAUUAAAUUGGAUUGUUGACUUGUUGCCUAGGACUUAAAUGAUAUUUUAUCAGUUGUGUUAUAAUCAUAAACUUUUCUUCCAUGUCUUUGUAGUUCAUAGAAUGGAUUGCCAAUGGAAUUAGCGAGCUAGUUUAAGGGAAUGUUGCCCUUUAUGUUUUUUAUUUUCUAUGAAUGAUAUAAAAACAUUUUUUGGUAAUGUUUAUUGUUAUUUGUAUUAAAAUUGUUUUUCAACUGUG